RNAcentral lists this ribosomal RNA (253 nucleotides) under uncultured bacterium. RNAcentral's name for it is "partial 16S ribosomal RNA". It matches the Rfam family "Bacterial small subunit ribosomal RNA", at positions 524 to 776 of the family's 1533-position model. The record is from RNAcentral.
UACGUAGGGUGCGAGCGUUAAUCGGAAUUACUGGGCGUAAAGCGUGCGCAGGCGGUUCGUCAAGGCUGAUGUGAAAGCCCCGGGCUCAACCUGGGAACUGCAUUGGAUACUAGCGAGCUUGAGUGUGGCAGAGGGGGGUGGAAUUCCACGUGUAGCAGUGAAAUGCGUAGAGAUGUGGAGGAACACCGAUGGCGAAGGCAGCCCCCUGGGCUGACACUGACGCUCAGGCACGAAAGCGUGGGGAGCAAACAGG